UUAAUAUUAAUUGUGCUGUCACUAGGGUGAUGAUGACGAUGGAUGAAGAUGGACCUGAACCUCUGAACACACAUUUAUGAUUGAAAAAUGUAGGCCAUGUGUUCAGAUGGCUGUAGCUGGCCUGACAAUUUGAUUGGCCGCUCCAAGUGUCACUCCAAAACUCUAAACUGUGAUUGGCUCUCUCCACAAUCUGAGGAAGGGCCUUUAGUAAACCAGGUGGAACCUCCUUGCUUAGCAGUAAGAGUCUUGAAAUUAGUUAGUUAAGUGCAUUAAAUGGAUUUUAGCUGUCCAAAGUUAAGAAUGUGUGUUCCACCGUGUUACAGAUAUCUGACGCGGAUGGACACGGUUAUAUCCGAGUGAACUCACAGCAACUGUGUAGGUCAGGUUUGAAAGGUUAAUGACAAACUGAGGAGGGGCUCUUUGAACUCAAACCUACGGAAACAGACUAACAACAGAAUACGCAUGAGCUUAUUGGAAACAUUUGGUUAUAUUAAUGUAUGACAGCAUGCUGACAAACACACUUAACGUCUCUGAAUCAUCCUGGAAGAAGUUUACUGGAGUGAGCGGCUCUCAAAAGUUACAUUCUGACACCUGAAGCCAUCAAGUUUGACCCGAGAGCAUCAGUCCUGCUGAAGAACGGAUGGCUGCACAAAAGCACCAGUUAUGCUGCACAGCAUCAGGUCAGAAGAAGGAUAGAAACGCAAUGAGUUUCUUCUAACGGUGCCCUUGAGAACAAGCCGCAUAGAGCCGAGAUGUAAACAUGUGAUGCGUCACUUUAGAGCAGAACGGAUCCAGUGCCAAACGAGAUUUCAGAAGACACUGGAAAGCGAAAGCGUGGAGGAGUAAUGGCUUUAACAUAUUGGUGUGUGUUUGAGCCAGUGAGUACUGUGCAGCCUGGAGCCUAUCUGGAUAUUUCCGCCACCAUCCAUCCUUCCAUCCAUCCAUCCAUCCAUCAAUCUAUCCACCUAUCCAUCCAUCCAUCCCUCUGAGAGCUGAGAUCUUCAUUCCCUGUCUUUCGUCAGCGAGCCGCCAGGAGGCCGAUAACAAACCGCUAACGUUUGAUUGAAUUAUCCCUCAACAUGAUGUGGCAGUAAACUGUUAUUCCUCCAUCUUACCAGCCCUCUGCUGUCUCGCCCCUGAGCGACGACUUUCAUCCUCUCUCAUUUCUCUGCUGUCAUACACAUACUGGCACUCGUCUGCCGCCGCAAUGGCUUCGGCCUUUUGCUCAUUUACGGCUCUGUAUUCCCGACAGGCCGUCUGAUUCCUGAGGGGAGGCCUGUGGAGGAUGCUCUGUUGAAUUUACGGCCGUAUAUAAAUAUAUCCAAGCGUGCGUUUCUCUCAGAUUGAAAACAUAUACCUGCGACGAUUGCCUGCUAUGAAGUUCAUUCCAGGGAUCUUCAUUCCCCUUGAGUCGCCAGGAGGCCGAUAGAGAGCAGCUAAUGUUUGAUAAAACAGCUUUAACACCAACCAGAGAACCAUCAGAGAAGCUUGCAUCUGCAUCAAAAGCUCUAUUAUAUAUAUAAAAAAAAAUAAAUCCCACAAAC
Long non-coding RNA from Cyprinus carpio (common carp), 1544 nucleotides. RefSeq lists it as uncharacterized. NCBI's taxonomy places the organism in Eukaryota, Metazoa, Chordata, Actinopteri, Cypriniformes, Cyprinidae. The record is from RefSeq and is a predicted model, not a curated record. The transcript is spliced from 8 exons.